RNAcentral lists this microRNA precursor (255 nucleotides) under Medicago truncatula (barrel medic). RNAcentral's name for it is "MIR2646 microRNA precursor family". It matches the Rfam family "MIR2646 microRNA precursor family". Lineage: Eukaryota; Viridiplantae; Streptophyta; Magnoliopsida; Fabales; Fabaceae. The record is from Rfam by way of RNAcentral.
UCCCCAUGACAUUUAGUGAUGAUGUGUCUGUUUUUUUAUCAAUUAAUGUGUGCCACGUGUGUAAUUCCAUUUUUUAAAAAAUAAAAAAAUGGUAUUUUUCAGAUUUUCAGCACUAAAUUCUAUUGUUGGUCACGUGCCUCCUUCUCUCAAAAUCUGAAAAAUACAAUUUUUUUAUUUUUUUAAAAAAUAAAAUUAUACACGUGGCACACAUUAAUUGAUAAAAAACAGACACAUAAGCAUUAAAUGUCAUGGGGA